AUACGUAGGGAGCGAGCGUUGUCCGGAAUUACUGGGUGUAAAGGGAGCGUAGGCGGGACGGCAAGUCAGAUGUGAAAUACCGAGGCUCAACUUCGGGGCUGCAUUUGAAACUGCGAGUCUUGAGUGAUGGAGAGGCAGGGGGAAUUCUCCGUGUAGCGGGAAAAUGCAUAGAUAUUGGGAAGAACACCAGUGGCGAAGGCGGCCUGCUGGACAUUAACUGACGCUGAGGAGCGAAAGUGUGGGGAGCAAACAGGAUUAGAUACCCUGGUAGUCCACACCGUAAACGAUGGAUACUAGGUGUGCGGGGACUGACCCCCUGCGUGCCGCAGUUAACACAAUAAGUAUCCCACCUGGGGAGUACGAUCGCAAGAUUGAAACUCAAAUGAAUUGACGGGG
RNAcentral lists this ribosomal RNA (396 nucleotides) under uncultured bacterium. RNAcentral's name for it is "partial 16S ribosomal RNA". It matches the Rfam family "Bacterial small subunit ribosomal RNA", at positions 523 to 918 of the family's 1533-position model. The record is from RNAcentral.